RNAcentral lists this ribosomal RNA (726 nucleotides) under uncultured bacterium. RNAcentral's name for it is "bacterial SSU rRNA". It matches the Rfam family "Bacterial small subunit ribosomal RNA", at positions 94 to 823 of the family's 1533-position model. The record is from RNAcentral.
AGCGGCGAACGGGUGAGUAACACGUAGGUGAUCUGCCCAUCAGACGGGGACAACGAUUGGAAACGAUCGCUAAUACCGGAUAGGACGAAAGUUUAAAGGUGCUUCUGGCACCGCUGAUGGAUGAGCCUGCGGCGCAUUAGCUAGUUGGUAGGGUAAAGGCCUACCAAGGCGACGAUGCGUAGCCGACCUGAGAGGGUGAACGGCCACACUGGGACUGAGACACGGCCCAGACUCCAACGGGAGGCAGCAGUAGGGAAUCUUCGGCAAUGGGCGAAAGCCUGACCGAGCAACGCCGCGUGAAUGAUGAAGGCCUUCGGGUUGUAAAAUUCUGUUAUAAGGGAAGAACGACUUUAGUAGGAAAUGGCUAGAGUGUGACGGUACCUUAUGAGAAAGCCACGGCUAACUACGUGCCAGCAGCCGCGGUAAUACGUAGGUGGCGAGCGUUAUCCGGAAUUAUUGGGCGUAAAGAGCGCGCAGGUGGUUGAUUAAGUCUGAUGUGAAAGCCCACGGCUUAACCGUGGAGGGUCAUUGGAAACUGGUCGACUUGAGUGCAGAAGGGGGAAGUGGAAUUCCAUGUGUAGCGGUGAAAUGCGUAGAGAUAUGGAGGAACACCAGUGGCGAAGGCGGCUUCCUGGUCUGUAACUGACACUGAGGCGCGAAAGCGUGGGGAGCAAACAGGAUUAGAUACCCUGGUAGUCCACGCCGUAAACGAUGAGUGCUAAGUGU